Molecule: ribosomal RNA, 351 nt
Filed under: bacterium A17-3
Lineage: Bacteria
Description: bacterial SSU rRNA
Rfam family: Bacterial small subunit ribosomal RNA
Source: RNAcentral
GUGGGGGAUAACGUUCCGAAAGGAACGCUAAUACCGCAUACGUCCUACGGGAGAAAUCAUGAGACCUUCGGGCCUUGCGCUAUCAGAUGAGCCUAGGUCGGAUUAGCUAGUUGGUGAGGUAAUGGCUCACCAAGGCGACGAUCCGUAACUGGUCUGAGAGGAUGAUCAGCUCACACUGGAACUGAGACACGGUCCAGACUCCUACGGGAGGCAGCAGUGGGGAAUAUUGGACAAUGGGCGAAAGCCUGAUCCAGCCAUGCCGCGUGUGUGAAGAAGGUCUUCGGAUUGUAAAGCACUUUAAGUUGGGAGGAAGGGCAUUAACCUAAUACGUUAGUGUUUUGACGUUACCAA